CAGAAUCUAAUAAAAAUUCUUGAUACAAUGGAGGUGAUGAAUAAAAAUGCCAACUGGAAUGCAGUGAAGUAUAAGUAGUCAAGAAGUGAAUGAAGCAAAAUCUGGAGUGCAAACCAACAUAUCAAAUUUAAAGAAUACUAUCAGAAAAAUACUUAGAAGCAAUGUGAGGAGAGAUAUCUGAAUUCAAUAUUUGGACACUAGAGCCAGCAGGCAAUUAGGAAACUAUUUUACCAAACUGGUAAGAAAUGAUGGGGCUCAAGGGAACCUGUCUUGGACUGUGAGCUAAUGGAAUUCCCUGAUGACCAUUCAAGAAUAUGACAAUUGGGGGCGCCUGGGUGGCUCAGUGGGUUAAGCCUCUGC
Long non-coding RNA from Lutra lutra (Eurasian river otter), 360 nucleotides. RefSeq lists it as uncharacterized. The record is from RefSeq and is a predicted model, not a curated record. NCBI's taxonomy places the organism in Eukaryota, Metazoa, Chordata, Mammalia, Carnivora, Mustelidae. The transcript has 3 exons.